RNAcentral lists this ribosomal RNA (387 nucleotides) under uncultured bacterium. Its description in RNAcentral is "partial 16S ribosomal RNA". It matches the Rfam family "Bacterial small subunit ribosomal RNA", at positions 355 to 734 of the family's 1533-position model. The record is from RNAcentral.
UGGGGAAUAUUGCACAAUGGGCGCAAGCCUGAUGCAGCCAUGCCGCGUGUGUGAAGAAGGCCUUCGGGUUGUAAAGCACUUUCAGCGAGGAGGAAGGUGGUGGACUUAAUACGUUCAUCAAUUGACGUUACUCGCAGAAGAAGCACCGGCUAACUCCGUGCCAGCAGCCGCGGUAAUACGGAGGGUGCAAGCGUUAAUCGGAAUUACUGGGCGUAAAGCGCACGCAGGCGGUUUGUUAAGUCAGAUGUGAAAUCCCCGGGCUCAACCUGGGAACUGCAUUUGAAACUGGCAAGCUAGAGUCUCGUAGAGGGGGGUAGAAUUCCAGGUGUGCGGUGAAAUGCGUAGAGAUCUGGAGGAAUACCGGUGGCGAAGGCGGCCCCCAUGGAC